Lemur catta (Ring-tailed lemur) is the source of this 107-nucleotide small nuclear RNA. The record is from RefSeq and is a predicted model, not a curated record. NCBI's taxonomy places the organism in Eukaryota, Metazoa, Chordata, Mammalia, Primates, Lemuridae.
GUGCUUCCUUCGGCAGCACAUACACUAAAAAUGGAAUGAUACUGAGAAGAUUAGCAUGGCCCCUGCACAAGGAUGUCAUGCAAAUUCAUGAAGCAUUCCAUAAUUUU